AGUGAACGCUGGCGGUAGGCCUAACACAUGCAAGUCGAACGGCAGCACAGUAAGAGCUUGCUCUUACGGGUGGCGAGUGGCGGACGUGUGAGGAAUACAUCGGAAUCUACUUUUUCGUGGGGGAUAACGUAGGGAAACUUACGCUAAUACCGCAUACGACCUACGGGUGAAAGCAGGGGAUCUUCUGACCUUGCGCGAUUGAAUGAGCCGAUGUGGGAUUAGCUAGUUGGCGGGGUAAAUGCCCACCAAGGCGACGAUCCGUAGCUCGUCUGAGAGGAUGAUCAUCCACACUGGAACUGAGACACGGUCCAGACUACUGAGGGAGGCAGCAGUGGGGAAUAUUGGACAAUAGGCGCAAGCCUGAUCCAGCCAUCCCGCGUGGGUGAAGAAGGCCUUCGGGUUGUAAAGACCUUUUGUUGGGAAAGAAAAGCAGCAGGUUAAUACCCCGCUGUUCUGACGGUACCCAAAGAAUAAGCACCGGCUAACUUCGUG
This 492-nucleotide ribosomal RNA is filed under the name uncultured bacterium. RNAcentral describes it as "partial 16S ribosomal RNA". It matches the Rfam family "Bacterial small subunit ribosomal RNA", at positions 29 to 507 of the family's 1533-position model. The record is from RNAcentral.